UGGCGUGUAGCUCAAUGGUUAGAGCGGCAGCCUUAUAGCUGUGUGUGCCGGUCCGAUUCCGGCCACGCCAA
RNAcentral lists this transfer RNA (71 nucleotides) under Caudoviricetes sp. Its description in RNAcentral is "tRNA-OTHER". It matches the Rfam family "tRNA". From Rfam's summary of the family: Transfer RNA (tRNA) molecules are approximately 80 nucleotides in length. Lineage: Duplodnaviria; Heunggongvirae; Uroviricota; Caudoviricetes. The record is from RNAcentral.